Molecule: non-coding RNA, 71 nt
Organism: Bos taurus (domestic cattle)
Lineage: Eukaryota; Metazoa; Chordata; Mammalia; Artiodactyla; Bovidae
Source: Rfam
UCCUACUGAUUUAGAUGGUAAAGAAUCUGCCUGAAAUGCAGGAGACCCAGGUUUGAUCCCUGGAUCAGGAA